GGGAUAGAGACUUGGACACUGCUCUGCCUGAAGAAAGCUGAAAGAAAUUGAAAGAUUGUCUUUAUUGUUUUGUGAACGUGCUGGAUGCGCUAGUUUUGUUUUGUGUAAACUGGUGAAUAAAUCAACUGAGUCUCCAGUGCCAGCCCUGGUCACUUCCUUCUUCCUACUAUGAACUUUGUUACACUCUCUCUCUUCCCCUCUACCUCUAAACCUGUCCCUAUCCCUAGGUCCCGGGUUUUAGCACCAGUGUAACAAAGUUCGUCAUUCAAAUGACAGUUCUGCAACCAAUCAGAGAUGCUGGGAUUCCCUGAGAUGAGCCAGCAGGCAAAACUCCAACUCCUCUCAGCUCAAACGCAAGUUCCUUAAUCCCUGUCCUUUUAAAAAAACAGCACCUCAUUACAUCGAAAAAAAGGCACUUUUAAGAGCCACAUUUGUCUUGUAUCUUGUUACUCUCUCUACUGUUGUAUUGUGUUCUCUCUCUCUUGCUGUCUUACUGUCUCUCCCUCCCCUCUGAGUGGGGUUUUUGUUUGUUUGUUUUGUCUUUUUUGUCCCUGUGUGUUUAUAGUGUGUUUAUAUUUUGUGCCAUGUCUGAUCCUGAGAUGGACCGUCUCCUUAAUGAGAUGAGUGACCUUGUCGAUCAGGCUGAACAUCAAGCUCACCUCCAACAGCUCAUUAGCAUGCACCAGGAAGCAGAACCAUCCACCAGUCAGCCUUCCACCAGUAAUCCAUCCACCAGCCGGCCAUCAAACAGCAAGCAAGAUGUUAGGUGGAUUAAGAGGGACAGUGAUGGAAACAUUAUUUACGGCAGGCCCAGAUCAUCCCGGAAACAAGCAGUUACAUUUUUUUUACAUUAAUGUUAAUUAAAAUGUAGACUCCAGAUCUAGUUUUGCAUCUUGAUAUGGUAUACAACAUGAUCAUAAGUCAUGGGUCUGAAUUAGAACAUAUCUGAGGUUAUUAUUACGUACCUGUACCUAGCAUCAGGUAAAGUUUGUGUCAUUGAGUGUAAAAAGCAACAGCUUUUUUGCUACAGCAGGUCCCAGUCACAGCCAGAGUCGAAAGACUGGUGUCUAUCAUAUCAGGGCUCCUGAAACCAGUGCGGAAAUGACCAGUGACUUUCCUUCCAUUACUGCAGAGUCCUUCCUUCAAGAGCUUAAAAGCUCGCUGUUUGAGGACAUACAUGAGGAUGAAACAGCACUUCAAGCCUCAACAGACUGGUUGACCCGAAGGAGCCUCAUAUCAGGGUGGUGGGAGAAAGAGAGACCCCGACUGGUCAACACCAUGGUGCCUCGACAACAUGCGGCAACUCGGAUCUGCCAACAUUGUGGAAAUGGUUCAGCCGUAAUCCGUUGUUGUGACUGCCGACCACACCCAUUCCUCUGUGGCCAGUGUGAUGUCAGGGUCCACCGAGGUCAGUUGUUCCACAACAGGGAUUCGAUGACACAUGCAUUCUUUCAUCCAUUGCCUCCCACAACUUGUGUUGUGGAGAGGGUUCUAACCCAGUGUGGUAAGCUGUAGUUUUCUUAGACUUGACUGAAAAACUGAUAGGUCGAUGAAGCCGUCAAGUACAUCUUGUUUAAAAUAGUUGCCAGUAAAUAAAUGUUAUUCUUUAAUGCUUAUCCAUGUGUUUUUUUUUUUUUUUUGAGCGUCUUGUCCCUUUAGAGAUGCCAGAGACAAUAUGCGGUUGUCGACGAGUAUCGUCCAGUGUCAUCGCAGGACAGUCCAUAGUUGUGGUUACAAUGAAUGGGCGAUAUGAUCUCAGAUUGCCUCAGAUUAGAUGCAAAGCAUGUGAAGCCACUUGGAGUCCUGGAGUGGAUGACCUGAUCCGUAAUGACUACUGGCCUGCCACUUCUCACUAUUCAACUGUGUAUGCAACAGAUGUCCUUUUUUCUUUUGAAGAGCUGAAGAUGGCAGCACCAGGGAUGUCUAGCCAAGCAUUUCUUAGAAUGCUGGAUCAACGCACUGUUCGCUUUGGCCGUAGCGGAAACAUCACAGCAGACAGCUUCCGGAAAAGCUUCUUGGAGUGGGAAGCUGUCCAAUUCGAAGUGGACAAAUUAUGUCAGGAGGACCACUUUGACUGCCCAGCAUGCAGCCCAGACAUGCUUGAAGUAUCCGUUGAUGGAAACCAUCGGAGGAAAAAGCCAUCUUUGAUGGCGUGUUCAUCGCGAAUGAUGAUGAUGUCGCAAGAUUCGUGGACCAUGUCCAUACCUCAACCAGUCAUGUCUCUGAAAGAGGUGUCUGUGGAGGGCAAUGGUCAGCGGUGCAUGAAACGUCUCAGAAGUCCUCAGGAAAAACAGACUAGGAGGGCCUGGAACUCGCUGUAUGUCGUCAUGGGGUUCUCUUUCCUGCCCUCAAUAUGUUCAGGGGGGAGAUUUUUGCCUACCCCCUGUACCUCCAAAAGCAAAUUAAGUUAAUUUUUUUGCAAUGGAUGUGGCAUGUAAGUACUGGCCUUACCUCCAGAGAGUGACAGAGAAAUGCCCUGAGCUUGAGGAUCUCCUCACCAUGAGACCAUUUCUUUCUGUUUUUCAUGCCAAAGCUCAUGAUUUCAAAUGUGAGGUAAAAUGGAGUGGAGCAUAUCAGGAGGGGGUUGGUUCGACUCUUGGGGAAGAGGUGGAGCAGUGCAACGCCUUCCUCUCGAGGACUGCUGUUACGACAAAGCACAUGUCAAAAGCAGGAUACAUAGACAUGCUGACGAUCAUGGCCAUGCGCUGGAACCAACAAAAGUUUGACAACUUGGCUUCUACCCUUGCCCGCCGAUAUCGGAAGGCCACAAUAGCCCUGCAAUGCCAGUUGCAUAACCUGGAGGCCAUGAAAACGGAAAUGGACGUCUCAGACAAUCAACUGGAGAGAUGGAUCAUUGAUAUCAAUGAGUGGGCAGAAGCAACAACAUCCCCAAAUAAUGCUGAUGUUGCCGCUGUUGCCAGCCGAAUUGAGGAGCUGGUGGCAAGUGUUAAGAGGAGGUCCCAGCAUUUUUACCAGGAUAGUGACGGAUGCAAAGGACGUGCCCGAAUCCGCCGAAAGAUCAGGGAGGAAAAAAAAUCUUAAAUUCUGUAAUGGAAAAGUAUAACACCUUGGUUCCUAAUGCAGAAAAACUGACAUUGGACACCAUUCUAUCUGACGAGAUUGUUUGGCCAUGGCAGCUUACACAUGGUGACUCUGUAGAUCUAAGGACAAAGUGGAAGGCGUUCGACAUUGUGAUGGCAGUAAGGAGACUUGAGGAGGAGACGAGGAUUCUUAUUGCAGAGAUGAACAAGCAUUGGAAGUCUUUUUGCACCCGUGCAGACACCCUGAAGCAGAUGUCUUCCCACCUUUCUAAUGUGACAUCAGACGUGGGGCCUGCUUCAAGAUGGUAUCCGAGGUCUACAGAGCUUGAUGAUGAAGAACAAGCAAGCAAGCAACAGCCUGGCAAAGCAUGCAAAGAAAUGUUAUGUUCAAGUUCUGACUGAAACAGAAAUUAACUUUGAUAGUGAUUCUGAGGAAUACCAUACCAGUAGUGACUCUGAGCAAGAUUAAACAUGGCCAGAGUCCUUUUUUAUGCUGUUGUGUGCUGGGGAGGCAGCAUUAAGAAGAGGGCCGCUGGGACAGGUUGGUAAGGAAAGCUGGCUCUGUGUUUGGCAUGGAGCUGGAGUUAAUCAUUUAACAAACUGAGGAUAAUUUGCAGUAGCAGUCUUCUGUCAUGCUCAACACUGAAGAGGUCCUUUGUCCCCAGGGCAAACCAGCAACUCAAUGUCACAGAAAAGGUUAGGGGAGAAAUUGACUUUUCAGCAUGAGUCUCACCCUGCGCCAACCAUUACAUCACUUUGUCUAUUGUCUAGUAUCCACUAUCCAUUUGACUGUCUUACACAGUCAAAUGGACAUUAGCCCCUCUACACAUUCUGGACUGUGGUUUCAACAUUUACCCCGUUGGC
This is a long non-coding RNA of Cyprinus carpio carpio, 3905 nucleotides long. The record is from Ensembl. NCBI's taxonomy places the organism in Eukaryota, Metazoa, Chordata, Actinopteri, Cypriniformes, Cyprinidae.